AACGAACGCUGGCGGCAGGCCUAACACAUGCAAGUCGAACGCCCUAGCAAUAGGGAGUGGCAGACGGGUGAGUAACACGUGGGAACCUUCCCUAUAGUACGGAAUAUACCAGGGAAACUUGGAGCAAUACCGUAUACGCCCGAGAGGGGAAAGAUUUAUCGCUAUAGGAUGGGCCCGCGUAGGAUUAGCUAGUUGGUGAGGUAAUGGCUCACCAAGGCGACGAUCCUUAGCUGGUUUGAGAGAACAACCAGCCACACUGGGACUGAGACACGGCCCAGACUCCUACGGGAGGCAGCAGUGGGGAAUAUUGGACAAUGGGCGGCAAGCCUGAUCCAGCCAUGCCGCGUGAGUGAUGAAGGCCUUAGGGUUGUAAAGCUCUUUUGCCGGGGACGAUAAUGACGGUACCCGGAGAAUAAGUCCCGGCUAACUUCGUGCCAGCCGCCGCGGUAAU
Molecule: ribosomal RNA, 451 nt
Filed under: uncultured bacterium
Lineage: Bacteria
Description: bacterial SSU rRNA
Rfam family: Bacterial small subunit ribosomal RNA
Source: RNAcentral